GGGGAUAUAGCUCAGUGGCAUAGCAUCUGCCUGGCAAGCACAAGGUCCUGAGUUUGAUUCCCAGUUACCCCA
Molecule: transfer RNA, 72 nt
Filed under: Cavia porcellus (domestic guinea pig)
Lineage: Eukaryota; Metazoa; Chordata; Mammalia; Rodentia; Caviidae
Rfam family: tRNA
About the family: Transfer RNA (tRNA) molecules are approximately 80 nucleotides in length. Their secondary structure includes four short double-helical elements and three loops (D, anti-codon, and T loops).
Source: Rfam by way of RNAcentral